UCCUAGAUGGUAGAGCCUACUACACAUCUGGGCUAUACAGUAUACCCUAUUGCUCUUAGGCUACAAACCUGUACAGUAUGUUACUAUACUGAAUAGUGUAGGUAAUUUUAAUGCAAUGAUAAUAUUUGUGUAUCUAAACAUAGAAAAGGUACAGGAAAAAUAUAGUACAAAAGACAAAAAAUGGUACAUCUAUAAGGGCACUUGCCAUGAAUGGAUCUUAAAGGACUGGAAGUUGUCUAAGUGGUUCAAUAAGUGAGUGACCCUGACCAGCAAGAUCAUAACCCUGGAGGGGAGCCCAGUGAUGCCAUCGAAAAUGUGAAGGCCAAGAUCCAGGCUAAAGAAGGUGUUUCCCCAACCUGCAGAGGCUCACCUUUGCAGGUUGCUGGUGAGGUAUGCCUUCCCUCCUGGAGCCCUCGGUGACUGCAAAAGGUAAUUACUGAAACGGCUCAGCUCUGCUCAUGAUAUGGAAGCCUCACAUUUCUUGAAAUGACUUAACCUGCGGUGUGCUGAGCUUUCCCUGAAGAGAACUGGGAGCCAGAAACCCAUGUCAAUGAGUGAAAUAUUCCUUUUCUUCACUCAGGUAUAUGAGCUUACUGUAAUUACCUUUCUGGUCUGUUCAUUGCAAGUAGGUACCCAGGAGAGUGGGAAACACAGUCCUUUAAAGAGCCUGAUGAUAAACACGGUCAAAGAAAGCCCUUGAGAAAACGGUUGCACAGUGUUCUUGAAGCCAAGGCAUCUCAAGGGAUUUUCUGCUGGUCGAUGAAUCUGGGUCCUCGUAAGCUGCAGAACUUGGAGCACAUGAGCACACACACAUGCACACGCUCACACUCACAGAGCUAUUGCUCUUUAAAAAUCUAAUGCCUGGAGUUUCUCACGGGGAAUGCCGACAUACUAUGAGAAAGGAGAACAAAAGAGGAGCCAUGGGUGACUCAAUGAGCAUUUCACACAUCAAAGUAAGUGGCCAGAAGAUAGCCAAAACCACUGCCCCUCAUCUUCCACCACAUGCCUCACCCUCUGGCCAAGUUUCCUUCCCAUCCCAAAUUUGGCCUCUUGGCCUUCCCUGACCUUGACUUCUGGACCAAGGCUUCACAGGAGAUGAGACCCCUUUCUGUGAAGUGAAGUAGAAGUUCACCAGCUAGAGUCAGCCAGCAGGAUACCCAGCCAAAGCAACAGCAAUAAAAAGUCACAGGGGCUGGAACUGGAGCCACAUGUUGGGGAACUAUGAUUAGUUCAUUACAGCUCAGCUCUAGAAGACAAGGAAGAACAGGCAGGCCAAGUCCAGCUCAAGGAGAAAUCCGUAUGCUGAGCAAGAGCCUGGAUUUAAUGAAUUUCCAGUUGGCUGAAUUUAUGCUGCCUUUGAUACCUACUCAGUGCUUUCAAUACCACCUGCUUCUCCUGGCUUUGUUUUCCCCAAGCCUGAGAGGGGAUCCCUUGACUGCUGAUUAAAAGCUCUUCAGCAACAGCCUGUGAGUAUUUCACUGAUAACAUUCUCUUGACUGCUUCAUCAGGGCUGCCCUGGUGCAGGUGGGAGCCUGUGGCUGGGUCUCUCCAGACAGGUGUCCCUAGCUCUGGCCUUGAGCCUUCGGGAUCUUACAUGCAAAGAACCUAAAAGGAGGACAGGAAGGUUCCCAGGGCAGUCUUGUCCCAGACUUCACCCUUGCUUGAAUCACUUUUCCGUUUUAUACCUCGGCUCACCGGCACCCGCUUCCCCUUGUCAAUUCCGUGAAGUGAGUAGGAGGUUAUAUGGUGAACACUGUGUGCUCCUGGCUUAAAAGAGAAAGAAAGGAGAGGUUCUGUAUAGUUCUGCAGGGAUUUCAAAGCUAACCCUUGCCGACUGUGUGGAGGGAGGCAGGGCUCACAUAUAAGUGAGCUCUCAGGGCUGGAAUUUCCCUGGGUGGAAGUGCUGGGCUCAGAAGCUUUGGUCCAGCUUCACAGCUCCUUCAUCUACAAAAUCACACAGAGCUGUUACAUAAUCUCUGCUGCCUCUUGCAGGUCUGAGAUUCCUGGAAACAUACCCUAGUUGUUAAUAUCCGUUGUUCUUGUUCAGUGAGAUUGAUACCUAGAAGCCAAGGGAGAAACACGAGUGCCCUUGGGUCUUUCUACCUGCAUGCUUGAGUGAGAGCUGUCCAAGGUGCUAAGGAGCUAGAGGGAACAAAAUCAUUUAUCAUGCAAACUAGGCAACUUCAGAAAAUGAAAAAGCAUGCUCUGGGUAUUUCUACCAGGACAACAGGCCUAGACUGGAACAAUUCAAAGCACUGUGUCUCUGGGUGCAAAGCUCCUUGUUACUAAUAUUUGAAUAUUCUCACUGAGGUUUCUUCACAGUUUGUACCUGGAGAACAGAAAUGAUGAUUACAUGGAGAACCUUGUUCUGACCCCUAAGAUGAAGUGGGUGGGUUUGAUUCCUUGUUACCAAGGUAACCUCUUUCAAUAAGCCUUGAAAAGAUAAUUACUCUGUGUGAAGACUUUUCUGCUUUGCAUGGCGCACCAAUACAGUUCAGAGACAAUACAUUUCCAUACGAAACGACAGACACAGGCAGGAUCGCCUUGAUUUUAUGAAGUGCAACUAUUCAAAGUAUAAACAUCUGUCUAUAAAAGGACUUAAUCGGCUUUAGUUUAUGUGUCUUGUCUUAAUAUAUAAGAUACAAUUUUAGAACUAUAAGGAUUUAAAACAAUAAACAUGCCCAAUUUCCCCAUUUUA
Microcebus murinus (gray mouse lemur) is the source of this 2698-nucleotide non-coding RNA. The record is from RefSeq and is a predicted model, not a curated record. Lineage: Eukaryota; Metazoa; Chordata; Mammalia; Primates; Cheirogaleidae.